CCUGGUUGCCCGCCUGCUGCCUUUAGACUAUGGCCCAUGUCGGUACUGGCCCUGUUUGAGCGGGGAUACCCCAGAUAGCUAUGCCAUGGAGCCCAUUCGUAUAAUGAAAGACUAUGGGAAAGACUUUGGCUCCAUGGCAAUUGAACUGUAUGUGUGUGCUCUGAGCGCCAUUCAGUAAUAAUGUGUGCUCAGAUCUGAGCUAUCUGGGGAUAUGUUGAAAGUACCUGUUUUGUGCAAUGGCUGCACAGUUAUAUAUUGUUAUGUAUUUUAUUGUCUUUUGCUGCCAUGUGUUCAAUGGAGUUUUGCCUCUGUCUUUGGAGAUAAUUGGAUUACUUCCCGAUUAUACAAAAAAGGAAAUUGGUGUAGCGCUGUAUACAUACAUAUAAUAAGGUUGAACCUAAUAGGCUGAUUAGGCGUCCAGAUGAGAG
Molecule: non-coding RNA, 428 nt
Organism: Pelobates cultripes (western spadefoot toad)
Lineage: Eukaryota; Metazoa; Chordata; Amphibia; Anura; Pelobatidae
Source: the annotation of a GenBank genome assembly